AAUGAACGCUGGCGGCAUGCCUAACACAUGCAAGUCGAACGAAGGCUUCGGCCUUAGUGGCGCACGGGUGCGUAACGCGUGGGAAUCUGCCCCUUGGUUCGGAAUAACAGUUAGAAAUGACUGCUAAUACCGGAUGAUGACGUAAGUCCAAAGAUUUAUCGCCGAGGGAUGAGCCCGCGUAGGAUUAGCUAGUUGGUGUGGUAAGAGCGCACCAAGGCGACGAUCCUUAGCUGGUCUGAGAGGAUGAUCAGCCACACUGGGACUGAGACACGGACCAGACACCUACGGGGGGAAGCAGUGGGGAAUCUUGGACAGUGGGCGAAAGCCUGAUCCAGCAAUGCCGCGUGAGUGAUGAAGGCCUUAGGGUUGUAAAACUCUUUUACCCGGGAGGAGAAUGACGGUACCGGAAGAAUAAGCUCCGGCUAACUCCGUGCCAGCCGCCGCCGUAA
RNAcentral lists this ribosomal RNA (449 nucleotides) under uncultured bacterium. Its description in RNAcentral is "partial 16S ribosomal RNA". It matches the Rfam family "Bacterial small subunit ribosomal RNA", at positions 29 to 523 of the family's 1533-position model. The record is from RNAcentral.